Molecule: transfer RNA, 73 nt
Filed under: Petroscirtes breviceps (striped poison-fang blenny mimic)
Lineage: Eukaryota; Metazoa; Chordata; Actinopteri; Blenniiformes; Blenniidae
Description: tRNA-Asn
Rfam family: tRNA
About the family: Transfer RNA (tRNA) molecules are approximately 80 nucleotides in length. Their secondary structure includes four short double-helical elements and three loops (D, anti-codon, and T loops). Further hydrogen bonds mediate the characteristic L-shaped molecular structure. tRNAs have two regions of fundamental functional importance: the anti-codon, which is responsible for specific mRNA codon recognition, and the 3' end, to which the tRNAs corresponding amino acid is attached (by aminoacyl-tRNA synthetases). tRNAs cope with the degeneracy of the genetic code in two manners: having more than one tRNA (with a specific anti-codon) for a particular amino acid; and 'wobble' base-pairing, i.e. permitting non-standard base-pairing at the 3rd anti-codon position.
Source: RNAcentral
UAGGCGGAUGCUUGUUGGUUAAAGCACUUAGCUGUUAACUAAGAUUUUGUAGGAUCGAGGCCUGCCCGUCUAG